ACAUUCUCUAUUGCAGAAAGGUAUAAAUGCCGUUCUGAAUCUUUCGAUUGCUCCAUUUGGUCGUCUUUGAUGUGAUUAUUUUUCGAUUUUGUUUGUUAUUCUUUGGUUGCUAGUUCUGUAGAUCUGUUGGCAUUUUUUUUUUUUGGUUCUUGAUCCGUGACUUUUGCGCAUAUCGGAAUUUUUGAGAUUAUUAAUCCAAUUUUCGUGUUAAGUGGGAUAUUUUAUAUCUGAUUCAAAUGUUCGGUAGUUGAUUUGAUAUUCAUGUGCUUCUCUCUCGAGAUUUAUAAGAUCUAUCAUUGUUUUUCUCUGAAUUGUUCUGGAUCUGUCUCUGUGGUCCAGGAUAAUUUUGGGAUUUAGUUGGAUCUUGAUGUUUCUCAGCUCUAGUUGUUGUUGAGGUAGCAAAAGGCUUCAUUUUUUUUUUUCUUUAAUCUUUUAUUCUACUUGUUUGCAAUGAUGAUCAUUGAACAAGUAAUUAAUUGAGAAUGAGUAGUACUUAGGACUAAGGAAGGAUAUGGAGUCCAAAACUCUAGAUCUAGUAAUGUUUAAAUGGAUGUAUCGAAAUUGUGUUGGAGUAAACAUGGUAUGAUAUCAUAGAAGGCAAAUACACAG
Molecule: unclassified non-coding RNA, 609 nt
Filed under: Hevea brasiliensis (rubber tree)
Lineage: Eukaryota; Viridiplantae; Streptophyta; Magnoliopsida; Malpighiales; Euphorbiaceae
Source: RNAcentral